Molecule: ribosomal RNA, 598 nt
Filed under: Haemophilus haemolyticus
Lineage: Bacteria; Pseudomonadati; Pseudomonadota; Gammaproteobacteria; Pasteurellales; Pasteurellaceae
Description: bacterial SSU rRNA
Rfam family: Bacterial small subunit ribosomal RNA
Source: RNAcentral
CUGACGAGUGGCGGACGGGUGAGUAAUGCUUGGGAAUCUGGCUUAUGGAGGGGGAUAACUACGGGAAACUGUAGCUAAUACCGCGUAGUAUCGGAAGAUGAAAGUGCGGGACCGUAAGGCCGCAUGCCAUGAGAUGAGCCCAAGUGGGAUUAGGUAGUUGGUGGGGUAAAGGCCUACCAAGCCUGCGAUCUCUAGCUGGUCUGAGAGGAUGGCCAGCCACACUGGAACUGAGACACGGUCCAGACUCCUACGGGAGGCAGCAGUGGGGAAUAUUGCGCAAUGGGGGGAACCCUGACGCAGCCAUGCCGCGUGAAUGAAGAAGGCCUUCGGGUUGUAAAGUUCUUUCGGUAUUGAGGAAGGAGUGUAUGUUAAUAGCAUACAUUAUUGACGUUAAAUACAGAAGAAGCACCGGCUAACUCCGUGCCAGCAGCCGCGGUAAUACGGAGGGUGCGAGCGUUAAUCGGAAUAACUGGGCGUAAAGGGCACGCAGGCGGUUAUUUAAGUGAGGUGUGAAAGCCCCGGGCUUAACCUGGGAAUUGCAUUUCAGACUGGGUAACUAGAGUACUUUAGGGAGGGGUAGAAUUCCACGUGUAGCGGU